AGUGCAGAAGAGGGUAGUGGAACUCCAUGUGUAGCGGUGGAAUGCGUAGAUAUAUGGAAGAACACCAGUGGCGAAGGCGGCUACCUGGUCUGCAACUGACGCUGAGACUCGAAAGCAUGGGUAGCGAACAGGAUUAGAUACCCUGGUAGUCCAUGCCGUAAACGAUGAGUGCUAGGUGUUGGAGGGUUUCCGCCCUUCAGUGCCGGAGCUAACGCAUUAAGCACUCCGCCUGGGGAGUACGACCGCAAGGUUGAAACUCAAAGGAAUUGACGGGGGCCCGCACAAGCGGUGGAGCAUGUGGUUUAAUUCGAAGCUACGCGAAGAACCUUACCAGGUCUUGACAUCUUGCGCCAACCCUAGAGAUAGGGCGUUUCCUUCGGGAACGCAAUGACAGGUGGUGCAUGGUCGUCGUCAGCUCGUGUCGUGAGAUGUUGGGUUAAGUCCCGCAACGAGCGCAACCCUUGUUACUAGUUGCCAGCAUUAAGUUGGGCACUCUAGUGAGACUGCCGGUGACAAACCGGAGGAAGGUGGGGACGACGUCAGAUCAUCAUGCCCCUUAUGACCUGGGCUACACACGUGCUACAAUGGACGGUACAAACGAGUCGCGAACUCGCGAGGGCAAGCAAAUCUCUUAAAACCGUUCUCAGUUCGGACUGCAGGCUGCAACUCGCCUGCACGAAGUC
RNAcentral lists this ribosomal RNA (683 nucleotides) under Limosilactobacillus fermentum. RNAcentral's name for it is "bacterial SSU rRNA". It matches the Rfam family "Bacterial small subunit ribosomal RNA", at positions 645 to 1327 of the family's 1533-position model. The record is from RNAcentral. Lineage: Bacteria; Bacillati; Bacillota; Bacilli; Lactobacillales; Lactobacillaceae.